This 510-nucleotide ribosomal RNA is filed under the name uncultured bacterium. RNAcentral's name for it is "partial 16S ribosomal RNA". It matches the Rfam family "Bacterial small subunit ribosomal RNA", at positions 28 to 507 of the family's 1533-position model. The record is from RNAcentral.
GACGAACGCUGGCGGCGUGCUUAACACAUGCAAGUCGAACGAAGAGCGAUGGAAGCUUGCUUCUAUCAAUCUUAGUGGCGAACGGGUGAGUAACGCGUAAUCAACCUGCCCUUCAGAGGGGGACAACAGUUGGAAACGACUGCUAAUACCGCAUACGAUCCAAUCUCGGCAUCGGGACUGGAUGAAAGGUGGCCUCUAGUUAUAAGCUAUCACUGAAGGAGGGGAUUGCGUCUGGUUAGCUAGUUGGAGGGGUAACGGCCGACCAAGGCGAUGAUCAGUAGCCGGUCUGAGAGGAUGAACGGCCACAUUGGGACUGAGACACGGCCCAGACUCCUACGGGAGGCAGCAGUGGGGAAUCUUCCGCAAUGGAGGGAAGUCUGAACGAGGAACGCCGGGGUGGUGAAGACGGCCUUCGGGUUGGAAAGCUCUGUUAAUCGGGACGAAUGGUUCUUGUACGAAUAGUGCGAGGAUUUGACGGUACCGGAAUAGAAAGCCACGGCUAACUACGUG